AAAAGCCUCGGGAUAUGCCCUAACAUGAUUUCAUGUGAUUAGAGACCUCCAUGUUCUGAAGAACGCCAAAGAGGAGAGACAAAGAAAAGAUGAACUCAGCUGCCCCAGUCUCCAGUGAUCCCAGUUGUGGCCUUGGUAGCUACACCACAGUUGCCAACCUCUCUUGAAGUUCUGU
This is a long non-coding RNA of Neogale vison (American mink), 175 nucleotides long. RefSeq lists it as uncharacterized. Lineage: Eukaryota; Metazoa; Chordata; Mammalia; Carnivora; Mustelidae. The transcript has 3 exons. The record is from RefSeq and is a predicted model, not a curated record.